RNAcentral lists this ribosomal RNA (264 nucleotides) under Vibrio cholerae. Its description in RNAcentral is "partial 23S ribosomal RNA". It matches the Rfam family "Bacterial large subunit ribosomal RNA", at positions 47 to 303 of the family's 2925-position model. Lineage: Bacteria; Pseudomonadati; Pseudomonadota; Gammaproteobacteria; Vibrionales; Vibrionaceae. The record is from RNAcentral.
CGAUGAAGGACGCGGCAAGCUGCGAUAAUCCCCGGCGAGGAGCACACAUCCUUCGACCCGGGGGUCUCCGAAUGGGCGAACCCAUGCACAGCAGUGUGCAUAUCCCCCCGCUGAACACAUAGGCGGGGGGAGGACAACCCGGGGAACUGAAACAUCUAAGUACCCGGAGGAGAGGAAAUCAAUCUCGAGACUCCCCGAGUAGCGGCGAGCGAAAGGGGACCGAUGGCCAAACCGUCGAGCGGGCAUACCCGGCAGGGGUUCCGC